RNAcentral lists this ribosomal RNA (462 nucleotides) under uncultured bacterium. RNAcentral's name for it is "partial 16S ribosomal RNA". It matches the Rfam family "Bacterial small subunit ribosomal RNA", at positions 28 to 507 of the family's 1533-position model. The record is from RNAcentral.
GAUGAACGCUAGCGGCAGGCCUAAUACAUGCAAGUCGAACGAGAUUAUGAGGCUUGCUUCUUAUGAAAUUGGCGCACGGGUGCGUAACGCGUAUGCAACCUACCUUAAUCAGGGGGAUAGCCCGAAGAAAUGCGUAUUAAGACCGCAUAAAAACACAGUAUAGCAUUAUCCAAUGUUCAAAUAUUUAUAGGAUUAAGAUGGGCAUGCGUGUCAUUAGCUAGUUGGCGGGGUAACGGCCCACCAAGGCGACGAUGACUAGGGGAUCUGAGAGGAUGACCCCCCACACUGGGACGGAGGCACGGCCCAGACUCCGACGGGAGGCAGCAGUGGGGAAUAUUGGACAAUGGGCGAAAGCCUGAUCCAGCAAUGCCGCGUGAGUGAUGAAGGCCUUAGGGUGGUAAAGCUCUUUUACCCGGGAGGAUAAUGACAGUACCGGGAGAAUAAGCUCCGGCUAACUCCGUG